Molecule: long non-coding RNA, 393 nt
Organism: Acanthopagrus latus (yellowfin seabream)
Lineage: Eukaryota; Metazoa; Chordata; Actinopteri; Spariformes; Sparidae
Exons: 2
Source: RefSeq, a predicted model, not a curated record
GCGUUUUCCCCGACCUGGACCGCUGCUCCUGUGACAGUCUGUAGAACAACCUCUGUCAGCGCUGGACUGCACAACUAUGUUCUGUCAUUCCUCAGGAAGUAAGAAGUACAGGGCAGUUCUGGUGGAGCUUUGAUCCAGAUGGGGCCGUCUGAGAGCAUGAGUAAGACCCAGGAGCAGGGGCUCAACAAAGGAUGCUCAGUGCUGCAGGCGUGACCAACUUUAUAUGAUGAAGGAAAGGAGAGAGUCUCUGUUUUCAUCUUUCAUAUUUCAACUUCAGCACAUUCUUUUCCAACAAGCUCCCAUCUGAUUUCACGCAGCUCACACUGAUAUCUAAUCAGAGUCUUACGGGGAUUCAAAUUAAAUGCAGGGUCUACAAAAAAAUCACUCAAAUGA